UUGUCUCAAAGAUUAAGCCAUGCAUGUCUCAGUACAAGCCGCACUAAGGUGAAACCGCGAAAGGCUCAUUAAAUCAGUUAUGGUUCCUUAGAUCGUACCCAAUCCUACUCGGAUAACUGUGGUAAUUCUAGAGCUAAUACGUGCAAACAGAGCUCCGACCGGAGACGGAAGGAGUGCUUUUAUUAGAUCAAAACCAAUCGGCGGCGGGCGCGUUCGCGCGUCCGCUCGCCGCUCAACCUGGUGACUCUGAAUAACUUUUCGCUGAUCGCACGGCCUCGCGCCGGCGACGCAUCUUUCAAAUGUCUGCCUUAUCAACUGUCGAUGGUAGGUUCUGCGCCUACCAUGGUCGUAACGGGUAACGGGGAAUCAGGGUUCGAUUCCGGAGAGGGAGCCUGAGAAACAGGCUACCACAUCCAAGGAAGGCAGCAGGCGCGCAAAUUACCCACUCCCGGCACGGGGAGGUAGUGACGAAAAAUAACGAUACGGGACUCAUCCGAGGCCCCGUAAUCGGAAUGAGUACACUUUAAAUCCUUUAACGAGGAUCAAUUGGAGGGCAAGUCUGGUGCCAGCAGCCGCGGUAAUUCCAGUUCCAAUAGCGUA
This 600-nucleotide ribosomal RNA is filed under the name Desmopachria convexa. RNAcentral's name for it is "SSU rRNA". It matches the Rfam family "Eukaryotic small subunit ribosomal RNA", at positions 32 to 601 of the family's 1831-position model. Lineage: Eukaryota; Metazoa; Arthropoda; Insecta; Coleoptera; Dytiscidae. The record is from RNAcentral.